AAAUCUGAGGCGUACUAUGAAAAGAUGAGGAAAUUAGGAGGAAAAAAAGACUUCAUAGUUAACAUCCUCAAAGCAGCACAGGCAAGCAUAGGGUGGUUACCAGUGUGGAUUCAGAACCUGAUAUAAAACAGCAAGACCCUGGAUAAUAGGCAGCACAAGACUAUAAUCCAUGAAAGGACAAAAACAAAGGAGCAAGGAACUGAAAACAGCCCAGGUGUCCCUUAAUAGAUGAAGUCACAAACCACUGAAACAUGCAACAAUAUGGAUGAAUCUCAAAAACAUUAUGCUGAGUAAAAAGAAAGCUUUUUACUACAUGUGGCGGAGUCUAUGGCCCUUCUGCUUGAAUCUUGAGUGAAAUCUGUGACUCUUUCAAUCCAAAGACUACAGUAAUACCACAACUAUCUACAGAGGACUGGUUCCAGGACUCCCAUGGAUACCAAAAUCCAAGGAUGCUUCGAGUCCCUUACAUAAAAUGGCACAGUAUUCGCCUAUAACCUACAUGCAUCUUCAAAUAUGUUAAACCAUCUCUAGCCUACUUAAUAGUACCAAAUACAAUGUAAAUGCUACAUAAACAGUUGUUAUAAUGUAUUGCCAAAGACAAGCUCUCCUUGCCAAUCCCUGACCAAACGAGAUUCAUGAGCAAAAUAAAUCAUUGCUAAUAUUUAA
This is a long non-coding RNA of Sapajus apella (tufted capuchin), 666 nucleotides long. RefSeq lists it as uncharacterized. The record is from RefSeq and is a predicted model, not a curated record. Lineage: Eukaryota; Metazoa; Chordata; Mammalia; Primates; Cebidae. The transcript has 4 exons.